AUUGAACGCUGGCGGCAGGCUUAACACAUGCAAGUCGAGCGGGGAAAGGUAGCUUGCUACCUGACCUAGCGGCGGACGGGUGAGUAAUGCUUAGGAAUCUGCCUAUUAGUGGGGGACAACAUUCCGAAAGGAAUGCUAAUACCGCAUACGCCCUACGGGGGAAAGGAGGGGAUCUUCGGAACUUGCGCUAAUAGAUGAGCCUAAGUCAGAUUAGCUAGUUGGUGGGGUAAAGGCCUACCAAGGCGACGAUCUGUAGCGGGUCUGAGAGGAUGAUCCGCCACACUGGGACUGAGACACGGCCCAGACUCCUACGGGAGGCAGCAGUGGGGAAUAUUGGACAAUGGGCGAAAGCCUGAUCCAGCCAUGCCGCGUGUGUGAAGAAGGCCUUUUGGUUGUAAAGCACUUUAAGCGAGGAGGAGGCUACUUGGAUUAAUACUCUAGGAUAGUGGACGUUACUCGCAGAAUAAGCACCGGCUAACUCUGUGCCAGCCGCCGCGGUAA
Molecule: ribosomal RNA, 501 nt
Filed under: uncultured bacterium
Lineage: Bacteria
Description: partial 16S ribosomal RNA
Rfam family: Bacterial small subunit ribosomal RNA
Source: RNAcentral